This 1311-nucleotide long non-coding RNA is filed under the name Ailuropoda melanoleuca (giant panda). RNAcentral describes it as "lncRNA (ENSAMEG00000025723.1)". Lineage: Eukaryota; Metazoa; Chordata; Mammalia; Carnivora; Ursidae. The record is from RNAcentral.
AUUCCAGAUAGGAAAAAUGUUGUGAAUUUUUCCCAAAAGGCUCCAACAUCCACCAGGUAAUGAAUGGACUCUAGAGAGACUACUUUCCAGGUUCUCUACAGUCAAACACUAACUGGGACAUCCUCUUCUCCCUCCUAGGUGUCGCCUUCCUUCAUCUGACCCUCACAAGGCAUUUAUAUGUUACAUAUGCAAAUGCAUGGCACACCAGAUUGAGUUAAUGACCUAUCAUCAAACAAAUUCCACACACACUUCAACGGUUUCCAGUUUCUCAUACAAAAGCACUUCACCCCUACUUUGGUUAGCAGUGCUGGAAUCCUGGAUGAGGUGGCAUCUGAGAAAUUCUUGUGUGGGAUAAAAUUCAGCCAUGCAGAAAAGAAGAGACCUGACUCUACAUGCUGUGGACAUGGAAUAAAAGAAGGUGGGGAAGCAAGCAGUAAAGGGCUAUUGCAGAAAGAGGAGAUACUGAAGUCUGGCUACAUAGAAGAAGAGGAGUAGCAGGGACCAAGUCUGAAAAGGUACUCUGAGACCAAACUGUAAAGUGCCAUCAGUGACCAGCUAAGGAAAUUAAAAUUUAUCCUGUAGACGAAAGAGAAAUGGGAAAUUUUAGAGCAUAGGCAAAUCAUGACUACAGAAGUGUGAUGUAUUAAGUGGGAAUGAGUCUAAGCAUUUAGGGCCAAGGAAAAAGCUUUUUCCCUAGUCUAGGCAGGAGGAGGUCAAAACUUGACCUUGGCAGGUAAUGGCAGUGGGAAUGGAGAGGACAGUUUGGAUAUGAAAGAUACUCUGGAGUAUAAUUAACAGUCCUGGUAACUGAUUGGAAACACAAAUAAUGGGGGAUCAGAAUCAAAGAUGAUGGAAAAGCUAAGCCUAAUUCCAGGGAGAAUGGUGUUAUCCUUAACAGCAUGAGUAACUCAGAGAAGGCCGGGAUCCAGUUGGGAAGGGGAAAAGAAGGGCUACACUAAGGGCAUGUGAAUCCAAUGGACUUGGCAUAAAACCAAGAGGGAGCUUUAGAACAAAUAGUCGCAAAUAUGGGAUCAGAGCUUAGGAGAGACAUCAGGGCUGGAGGUAGAGAAUUAGCUCAAACUGACAGUUUUACUGAGCAUAAAAAAAACAAAGCUUAGUAGCUGGUCCAGGUGCUCCCAAAGGUGGGUUGUGGUCCCAGCUGUGGGGCUCACUGCCUCACUUCCUGAAGCUCUUUGGUCUCAGAAAGGUGAGGGAGGUGUGCAGCAGUUGGUACCUGAGCAGCCUAGCUUGACUGCUCUUGUGCAAAGCUGACAUCCAAGAGGCCCAGCAAAAGAGAGGCAGCCUUCUCCC